This is an RNA transcript of Solanum pennellii, 1450 nucleotides long. It is a transcript of the gene named ATP synthase subunit beta, chloroplastic-like, with no coding region annotated. The transcript is spliced from 6 exons. NCBI's taxonomy places the organism in Eukaryota, Viridiplantae, Streptophyta, Magnoliopsida, Solanales, Solanaceae. The record is from RefSeq and is a predicted model, not a curated record.
AUGUCAAAAACUCUUCUCUUUGAAUUCAAUAUACAAGGAACUGCUGAUCAUUCAGAUGAUGAUGGAAAUGCAAAAAUCUUCUUGAAUGGAUCCUACCUGAAGCAAUCAACUCUUUUAAUGACUAUAAAAAGGGAGCAGGUAUACACACAUGGAAAAGGGGAUGAAGAAAAAGGGAGGCUGGUGUUGGAAGCUAUGGCAGUUGCUCGUGUUAACUGGAAUACUGAAAUGGGUUGUCUAAAAGUCCAGCUUCUGAAACAAUACUAUCAGAGGGACCAGAUCCAUUCUUAUUUGAAUUUAAUUUCUUACGACUUUUCUCUUACUUCCUCCUUCAACAAUUUUAAUGUCACCAACCUUCGCAAUGUUGAUGACUUUCUGAAUUACAAUUCCUUUUAUCUUCGUGGAGGAAAAAUCGGACUAUUCAGCAGAGCUGGAGUGGGUAAAACAAUACUCAUUAUGAAAUUGAUGAACAAUAUUUCUAAUGCUCACAGGGCGUAUCAGUAUUUGGCGAAGUGGGUGAAGGUACUCGGGAAAGAAAUAAUUUUUACAUGAAAAUGAAAGAAUCUGGAGUGAUUAAUAAAGAAAAUAUUGCUGAAUUAAAAGUGACCUUAGUUUGCAGUAAUAUGAGAACCGCCAGAAGCUCAUAUGAGUUUUGGUUUGACUGCACUAACUAUGGUGGAAUAUUUCCGAGAUGUUAAUAAGCAACAUGUACUUCUAUUUAUUGUUAAUACCUUCCGUUUUCGUCCAAGCAGGAUUCGAAGUAUCGACCUAAGUGGCUAGAGUGCCUUCCGCUAUGGGUUAUCAACCGACCCUAAGUACCGAAAUGGGUUCUUUACCAGAAAGAAUUACUUCUACCAAAGAAUGGUCCAUAACCUCUAUUCAAGCAGUUUGUAUACCUGUAGACGAUUUGACCGACCCUGCUCUUGCCAUGACAUUUGCACAUUUAGAUGCUACUACUGUACUAUUAAGAGGAUUGGCUGCCAAAGGUAUUUAUCCAGCAGUAGAUCCUUUAGAUUCAACGCCAACCAUGCUUCAACCUCGGAUCAUUAGUGAGGAAUAUUACGAAACCGCCCAAAGAGUUAAGCAAACUUUACAACAUUACAAAGAACUUCAAGACAUUAUAGCUAUCCUUGGAUUGGACGAAUUAUCUGAAGAGGAUCGUUUACUCGUAGAGAGAGCACAAAAGAUUGAGUGUUUCUUAUCACGUCCCUUUUUAGUAACAGAAGUAUUUACCGAUUCUCCAGGAAAAUAUGUUGGUCUAGCAGAAACAAUUCGAGGAUUUCAAUUGAUCCUUUCCGGAGAAUUAGAUGGUCUUUCUGAACAUGCAUUUUAUUUGGUAGGUACUAUAGAUGAAGAUACCACGAAGGCUAUGAACUUAGAAUUGGAGAGUAGUUUGAAAAAAUAACUUUAAAUCUUAGUGUACUUACCGCUAAUCGAAUUGUUUAGGAUUCAG